Orcinus orca (killer whale) is the source of this 2772-nucleotide RNA transcript. It is a transcript of the gene named succinate-CoA ligase ADP-forming subunit beta, with no coding region annotated. The transcript has 12 exons. The record is from RefSeq and is a predicted model, not a curated record. NCBI's taxonomy places the organism in Eukaryota, Metazoa, Chordata, Mammalia, Artiodactyla, Delphinidae.
GGACGUGCAGGCUCAGUGGCCAUGGCUCACGGGCCCAGCCGCUCUGCGGCAUGUGGGAUCUUCCCGGACCGGGGCACGAACCCAUGUCCCCUGCAUCGGCAGGCGGACUCUCAACCACUGUACCACCUGGGAAGCCCUAUACUUAGAGUUUUGCAUCAUGGAUUUAUCCUCAGCCUUUUUUGGAAAAAUUUCAAACUGAUAGGUUCUGGGAAGUUCUGGAUUAUUUAACAACCAUGGACUCCAAAUACAGCAGCAACAGCAAAGGAAUCUCUCACUACAUGAAUACAUGAGUAUGGAAUUGUUGCAAGAAGCUGGCGUCUCCAUUCCCAAAGGACACGUGGCUAAGUCACCAGAUGAGGCUUAUGCAAUUGCCAAAAAAUUAGGUUCAAAAGAUGUUGUGAUAAAGGCACAAGUUUUAGCUGGUGGUAGAGGAAAAGGAACAUUUGAAAGUGGCCUCAAAGGGGGAGUGAAGAUAGUUUUCUCUCCAGAAGAAGCAAAAGCUGUUUCCUCACAGAUGAUUGGGAGAAAGUUGUUUACCAAGCAAACAGGAGAAAAGGGCAGAAUAUGCAAUCAAGUAUUGGUUUGUGAGCGAAGAUAUCCCAGGAGAGAAUACUACUUUGCUAUUACAAUGGAAAGGUCAUUUCAAGGUCCUGUAUUGAUAGGAAGUUCUCAAGGUGGUGUCAACAUUGAAGAUGUUGCUGCUGAGACUCCUGAGGCCAUAGUUAAAGAACCUAUUGAUAUUGUAGAAGGCAUCAAAAAGGAACAAGCUGUUCGGCUUGCACAGAAGAUGGGAUUUCCAGCCAAUAUUGUGGAUUCUGCAGCAGAAAACAUGAUCAAGCUUUACAACCUUUUUCUGAAAUAUGAUGCAACCAUGGUAGAAAUAAAUCCAAUGGUAGAGGAUUCAGACGGAGCUGUGCUAUGUAUGGAUGCAAAGAUCAAUUUUGAUUCUAAUUCAGCUUAUCGCCAGAAGAAAAUCUUUGACCUACAGGACUGGACCCAGGAAGAUGAAAGGGACAAAGAUGCAGCUAAGGCAGAUCUCAACUACAUUGGCCUAAAUGGAAAUAUAGGCUGUCUAGUAAAUGGUGCUGGUUUGGCAAUGGCCACAAUGGAUAUAAUAAAGCUUCAUGGAGGGACUCCAGCCAACUUUCUUGAUGUUGGUGGUGGUGCCACAGUCCAUCAAGUAACAGAAGCAUUUAAACUUAUCACUUCAGAUAAAAAGGUACUGUCUAUUCUGGUCAACAUCUUCGGAGGAAUCAUGCGGUGUGAUGUUAUUGCACAGGGUAUAGUCAUGGCAGUAAAGGAUUUGGAAAUUAAAAUACCUAUUGUGGUACGGUUACAAGGUACACGAGUUGAUGAUGCUAAGGCACUGAUAGCGGACAGUGGACUUAAAAUUCUUGCUUGUGAUGACUUGGAUGAAGCUGCUAAAAUGAUAAAGGCAGAAGAUCUAAAUAGACAUUUCUCCAAAGAAGACAUACAGAUGGCCAACAGGCACAUGAAAAAAUGCUCAACAUCACUAAUUAUUAGAGAAAUGCAAAUAAAAACUACAGUGAGUUAUCACCUCACACUGGACAGAAUGGCCAGUCUGUAUUUUAGUCUACAAAUAACAAAUGCUGGAGAGGGUGUGGAGAGAAGGGAACCCUCCUACACUGUUGGUGGGAAUGUAAAUUGGUGCAGCCACUAUGGAGAACAGUAUGGAGGUUCCUCAAAAAACUAAAAACAGAACUACCGUAUGAUCCAGCAAUCCCACUCCUGGGCACAUAUCCGGAGAAAACCAUAAUUGGAAAAGAUACAUGCACCUCUAUGGUCAUAGCAGCAUUAUUUACAAUAGCCAAGACAUGGAAGCAGCCUAAAUGUCCAUCAACAGAUGAGUGGAUAAAGAAGAUGUAGUAUAUAUAUGCAAUUGAAUACUACUCAGCCAUAAAAAAGAAUGAAAUAAUGCCAUUUGCAACAACAUGGAUGGACCUAGAGAUCAUCAUUCUAAGUGAAGUUGUAAAGCUCUCUGAGAUAGUGACCUUAGCCAAGCAAGCCCAGGUGGAUGUGAAAUUUCAGUUGCCAAUCUGAUUUGAGAACCCAGUGGUUGGCUGAAGAUGUUAAAUGUGUUAUAAUUGUUAAAAAUACUGAGUUCUGUAUUAUUAUUGUUCCUUUUCUCUUUAGUGUGUGAAGAUUGUAAUUACCGUCUAGGCACAAAAACUUUUAAAAGCAUUUGGUCUGCAUUUAAUUCUGUACAGAAUGGGCUGUUUGUAUAAAGAAUGUGUAAUGCAGUUAUCUAGUUUGUUUUGUUGCAGCUUUCUUUCUCAGUUUUGCAGAAUGUCACUUGCAAUAUGCCAGUUUAUUGUUGGGUACAGCAUUCUUCAUUGAUAAGAGUCUUAUGAAUGAAAUAAAUAUGAAGACAAAGCUUUAUUCUUUAGUGUCAGAAAUGUAUUAUAUCUAAUAACUUGUUUCAUUAGUAGAGCAGUGUAUUAAAACAAUGUUUAUAUAAGAAGUGUCUAUCUUCAACACCAAAUACCUAACUAAAUAUAUCAGUCACUAUUUAUAAACAGACCUUUCAAACACUCCCCAGAAUAUUCUUUUAAGUAUUUCAGGAAAGUAACUUGUGAAUUAUUUGAGCAUUGUUUUAAUCAUUACAGAACAUUGAUAUCUGCAAGUCCUCAUGAUCUUGUGGUAUUGAGAAGAACCUGUAGGUUUGUAUCAUGUAAGGAUAUAUUUACUAAGGACCUUGGCAGACAAAAUUAACAAUGUCAAUUUAAAUUAAUAAAAAAUCUCCCAAUGUGA